GAGAGAGCGAGUCGGUGCUACUGGCGCCGGGUCGGUCCGGGUAGGCGCAGCGGGACUGGACCUGGGUGCCGAGCGGAGCCGCUGCCAUGGGCCUGGGCGUCAGCGCUGAGCAGCCCGCAGGCGGCGCCGAGGGCUUCCACCUCCACGGGGUGCAGGAGAACUCCCCAGCCCAGCAGGCAGGCCUGGAGCCCUACUUUGACUUCAUCAUCACCAUUGGGCACUCGAGGCUGGCUGAGGAAGGUUUGGCAGUGCUUGGGGAAGGUGGGGGUCCCAGUGGCUGCAGGCUCAACCCUGGUCUGUGAACCUGGCCCAUCCACUACCUUGGCCCAUCCCCACAGUGACCCUGCUGAGGGCUGCUGCCCACUAAGGCCCUUGCCCCAUCUCAGGCCCACACUUGUCUGAGGGUCCUAGCCUGGGCAUGAGGUGGCCUUGGAGUCAGCCCCACUGCCCCCACAGAACAAGGAGAAUGACACCCUGAAGGCACUACUGAAAGCCAAUGUGGAGAAGCCCGUGAAGCUGGAGGUGUUCAAUAUGAAGACCAUGAGGGUGCGCGAG
Molecule: small RNA, 555 nt
Filed under: Pongo abelii (Sumatran orangutan)
Lineage: Eukaryota; Metazoa; Chordata; Mammalia; Primates; Hominidae
Description: processed transcript
Source: RNAcentral